RNAcentral lists this ribosomal RNA (1511 nucleotides) under Campylobacter jejuni. Its description in RNAcentral is "partial 23S ribosomal RNA". It matches the Rfam family "Bacterial large subunit ribosomal RNA", at positions 1 to 1540 of the family's 2925-position model. Lineage: Bacteria; Pseudomonadati; Campylobacterota; Epsilonproteobacteria; Campylobacterales; Campylobacteraceae. The record is from RNAcentral.
AGGUAAGCUACUAAGAGCGAAUGGUGGAUGCCUUGACUGGUAAAGGCGAUGAAGGACGUACUAGACUGCGAUAAGCUACGGGGAGCUGUCAAGAAGCUUUGAUCCGUAGAUUUCCGAAUGGGGCAACCCAAUGUAUAGAGAUAUACAUUACCUAUAUAGGAGCGAACGAGGGGAAUUGAAACAUCUUAGUACCCUCAGGAAAAGAAAUCAAUAGAGAUUGCGUCAGUAGCGGCGAGCGAAAGCGCAAGAGGGCAAACCCAGUGCUUGCACUGGGGGUUGUAGGACUGCAAUAUGCAAGAGGUAAGUUUAGCAGAACAUUCUGGAAAGUAUAACCAUAGAGGGUGAUAGUCCCGUAUGCGAAAAACAAACCUUAGCUAGCAGUAUCCUGAGUAGGGCGGGACACGAGGAAUCCUGUCUGAAUCCGGGUCGACCACGAUCCAACCCUAAAUACUAAUACCAGAUCGAUAGUGCACAAGUACCGUGAGGGAAAGGUGAAAAGAACUGAGGUGAUCAGAGUGAAAUAGAACCUGAAACCAUUUGCUUACAAUCAUUCAGAGCCCUAUGUAGCAAUACAGGGUGAUGGACUGCCUUUUGCAUAAUGAGCCUGCGAGUUGUGGUGUCUGGCAAGGUUAAGCAAACGCGAAGCCGUAGCGAAAGCGAGUCUGAAUAGGGCGCUUAGUCAGAUGCUGCAGACCCGAAACGAAGUGAUCUAUCCAUGAGCAAGUUGAAGCUAGUGUAAGAACUAGUGGAGGACUGAACCCAUAGGCGUUGAAAAGCCCCGGGAUGACUUGUGGAUAGGGGUGAAAGGCCAAUCAAACUUCGUGAUAGCUGGUUCUCUCCGAAAUAUAUUUAGGUAUAGCGUUGUGUCGUAAUAUAAGGGGGUAGAGCACUGAAUGGGCUAGGGCAUACACCAAUGUACCAAACCCUAUCAAACUCCGAAUACCUUAUAUGUAAUCACAGCAGUCAGGCGGCGAGUGAUAAAAUCCGUCGUCAAGAGGGAAACAACCCAGACUACCAGCUAAGGUCCCUAAGUCUUACUUAAGUGGAAAACGAUGUGAAGUUACUUAAACAACCAGGAGGUUGGCUUAGAAGCAGCCAUCCUUUAAAGAAAGCGUAAUAGCUCACUGGUCUAGUGAUUUUGCGCGGAAAAUAUAACGGGGCUAAAGUAAGUACCGAAGCUGUAGACUUAGUUUACUAAGUGGUAGGAGAGCGUUCUAUUUGCGUCGAAGGUAUACCGGUAAGGAGUGCUGGAGCGAAUAGAAGUGAGCAUGCAGGCAUGAGUAGCGAUAAUUAAUGUGAGAAUCAUUAACGCCGUAAACCCAAGGUUUCCUACGCGAUGCUCGUCAUCGUAGGGUUAGUCGGGUCCUAAGUCGAGUCCGAAAGGGGUAGACGAUGGCAAAUUGGUUAAUAUUCCAAUACCAACAUUAGUGUGCGAUGGAAGGACGCUUAGGGCUAAGGGGGCUAGCGGAUGGAAGUGCUAGUCUAAGGUCGUAGGAGGUUAUACAGGCAAA